Molecule: long non-coding RNA, 423 nt
Organism: Episyrphus balteatus (marmalade hoverfly)
Lineage: Eukaryota; Metazoa; Arthropoda; Insecta; Diptera; Syrphidae
Exons: 3
Source: RefSeq, a predicted model, not a curated record
UUCGAUACCGACUCUUUUGUCAAUUGAUACGGAAAUUUGAAAAUCGUUUUGCUUUUCGAAUUCACUGAACAAAAAAGCCAUAUAGAAGAGCCUACGCUAUACAGCCGAUGAUAAUAUCAAAAUUUGGAAUAUCCUUGAGUGCGUGUUUGUAGAUGUAAAACAAUCAGUUUAGCGGUUUACGACGCACCAGUUAUGACAAAAGACAAUGGUUGCAUGCAGAUAAACGAGGAGGAUAUAUAACAACAUCCACACACACAAACAUUAUUAUAGAGCUUUUAAAUGGAAGCGGAUAUAAACCGAAACUCAUAAAUAAGUCCUUGGAAUAAGGAUGUACUUAUGGCUUUAUUAUGAAAGAGUCCCUAUAUCCAGAAAAAGGAGAUAUGGAAGGAGGUUUAUAAGGAUGGACUCUAUCCAACUGUAAAG